Molecule: long non-coding RNA, 1188 nt
Organism: Olea europaea var. sylvestris
Lineage: Eukaryota; Viridiplantae; Streptophyta; Magnoliopsida; Lamiales; Oleaceae
Exons: 3
Source: RefSeq, a predicted model, not a curated record
UCUCGUAUUGUUGCUACUGUUGAUCCACUGCCAUCAUUGUUGAUUAAUUCUGGGGAUGAAAGUGAAAAUUGAAGGGAAUAAAAAUAGGAGAUUUAUGCUGACCUCAAUUAGCUGAGUGAUUUGGCAUGUGUUUAAUGGCCGUUAAUUGGCGCGUCUAAUAUCCGUCCGCAUUAAGGUAACGGAUUUUUUGACGGUGAUGAAUGGAGUACAAAUGAGAAAAAGUUCAAUAUGUUGAAGUAGUCCGUGACCAUAUACGAGUUGAGAGAUUUUUGAAACAUUUCACUCCGCAGCUUGAGUAUUCAAAUUUUCAUCAUUCCCAUUUUUUUCUUUAUUCCCUUUGGCUGAAACUUUAACUUAUUUCUCAUCAAUUUAUUAAUUGUUUUGUAUUUUACUUAUGGCAAUGUAUCGCCUCUCUCACGGCCGCCGUCUCCUCAGCCUCCGCCACUCUUACCUGUCAAUUGCCCUUUCCGGGAUUAUCCCUCCGCCAAUAUCAAACCAUAGUAAUAAUUCCCUUCAUUCUUCAUUCUCUUCUUGAUGCUUCUAAUUUCUUCGAAUUCUCCUGAAGAAACUCCAGCUCAAAACACCAAUUUUACAAUUCUUUUCAUCUAAUCCGAGCAUUCGGUGCGUAUCAAACGCUUUUUGGAAAUUCUCACAUUUCCUCGCUAGCAUCAAAGGAAAAUGAGCAAAAACCGAAAAUUAAUGGGAGUUGUAAACUCGAUCCGUCGUGGAUCAAUGUUCGUUUACCUGAAAAGGCUGGGCCUUAUGCCCACCUGGUGCGCCUCGAUAAGCCGAUUGGCACUUUGCUUCUUGCUUGGCCAUGCAUGUGAUCUAUAACCAUGGCAGCAGGUGCGGGGAGCCUUCCAGACUUUAAGAUGAUGGCUCUGUUUGGUUCGGGGGCAUUCCUUUUACGUGCUACAGGAUGUACAAUCAAUGAUCUACCUGAUCAGGAUAUUGAUAGAAAGGGUGGCCAUAUUACGCAUUUUCGAUGGGUGCAUCUAGUCAAUUAGCUUGGCAGAUAUUGACAAUUGACCUAUCCGGUUGUGCUGAUUGCAAUAGAAAGUAGGUGUAGAAUAUGAUGCAUCUAAAACAUGUUAAAUUGGUUUUGCAUAACAUCAACUGAGGAACAAAUGGUGGCAUUGAUUGUUUGCCCUGGUAUUUUAAAUUUUGGGAAAAAUAAUCUGUUUCAUU